AAAGUAUUGUUGGAGUUGUUUGUAGUUUUGUCAAAGUCAAUAGGAGACUUGGGACGUUAUGAAGAUAAAGAGGUUAAAGCCAUAACAGCUGAGGGGAGACAACUUAGCCACCAAGGGCUGAUUGACAGAUUGAGAAUGUUGUCUCUACUUUCGGCAAGGCAGUUCUUUUGUGAAGUUGAAGGGAUUCCACUGUGAAUGAAAAUAGGAUUUAAACCAGCGUUACAAGUUGUUGUCUCAACUAAAGUGGUGUAACCUCGAUUAUCCUCUGAACCAGAAGCACAGAGAUGGUUUUAGAAAUUAGGAAAAAGAGCCAUGGAAACUGAUAAAAGAAUACACUUGUGAACUCAUCUAUAUCAUUGGAGCCAUUGGAGGUGGUU
Long non-coding RNA from Ylistrum balloti, 377 nucleotides. RefSeq lists it as uncharacterized. NCBI's taxonomy places the organism in Eukaryota, Metazoa, Mollusca, Bivalvia, Pectinida, Pectinidae. The transcript has 3 exons. The record is from RefSeq and is a predicted model, not a curated record.